AGGCCUAACACAUGCAAGUCGAGCGCGCCCUUCGGGGUGAGCGGCGGACGGGUUAGUAACGCGUGGGAAUAUACCCUUUGGUACGGAAUAGCCCCUGGAAACGGAAAGUAAUACCGUAUGAGCCCUUCGGGGGAAAGAUUUAUCGCCAAAGGAUUAGCCCGCGUUAGAUUAGGUAGUUGGUGGGGUAAUGGCCUACCAAGCCUACGAUCUAUAGCUGGUUUUAGAGGAUGAUCAGCAACACUGGGACUGAGACACGGCCCAGACUCCUACGGGAGGCAGCAGUGGGGAAUCUUGAACAAUGGGGGCAACCCUGAUCCAGCCAUGCCGCGUGAGUGAUGAAGGCCUUAGGGUCGUAAAGCUCUUUCGCCUGUGAAGAUAAUGACGGUAGCAGGUAAAGAAACCCCGGCUAACUCCGUGCCAGCAGCCGCGGUAGUACGGAGGGGGUUAGCGUUGUUCGGAAUUACUGGGCGUAAAGCGCACGUAGGCGGAUCGGAAAGUUGGGGGUGAAAUCCCGGGGCUCAACCCCGGAACUGCCUCCAAAACUAUCGGUCUAGAGUUCGAGAGAGGUGAGUGGAAUUCCGAGUGUAGAGGUGAGAUUCGUAGAUAUUCAGAGGAACACCAGUGGCGAAGGCGGCUCACUGGCUCGAUACUGACGCUGAGGUGCGAAAGUGUGGGGAGCAGACAGGAUUAGAUACCCUGAUAGUCCACAC
Molecule: ribosomal RNA, 710 nt
Filed under: uncultured bacterium
Lineage: Bacteria
Description: bacterial SSU rRNA
Rfam family: Bacterial small subunit ribosomal RNA
Source: RNAcentral